This is a long non-coding RNA of Chlorocebus sabaeus (green monkey), 1354 nucleotides long. RefSeq lists it as uncharacterized. The record is from RefSeq and is a predicted model, not a curated record. Lineage: Eukaryota; Metazoa; Chordata; Mammalia; Primates; Cercopithecidae.
UCACCGGACUGGGGGGUCCGGGGGGGGGUUACGGGGAUGGGAAAACGCAGCUGGUGGUGCGGUGCCUCUGGCGACAGAGCAGAUGGACCUGAAAGAGACCCGAGGUGACUUCGGGCUGGGCAGGGCACCCCCGGGAGUUGCCAGCGGCUCUCAGUGGACGCCUCUAGGACCCCUUGUCACUGCGAGCAGCGCCUGCUCUGGGGAGGGCUCGAAGGCGCCGCGCCUUUUCAAAGAACGCCGCUGCGUCCCCCAGGGGCUCCAACUCGGACAGCUAGACUGGAAAUACUGGUGCCAAAGUUAGGCUGAGUUUGAAGGACACCAGAGGGGAAGCGCAAGGAGAUGCCCUUCUCCCGAGCCGGGCAGAGCGCCAGGAACUCCUAGACAGGAAACUUCCCAUUGAAGCUAGAACCGGUCAUGCGACUCAGCUAAGUGUGGGGAAACACUGGCUCUAGACUCCAGAUAGGAAGCCUAAUCUUAGAGGAAGAAGUGGCCUUAGAGGAAGAGGAAAAAAGAGAAAUCACUCAGAAGAAAGGCCAUGUGAGGACACAGCAGCCAUCUGCAAGCCAGGAAGACAGCCUUCAGUGUAAACAGAACUCUACUGACACCUUAAUCUUGGACUUCCAGCCUGCAGAACUGUGGGAAGAAGAAGAAACUGAAGCCCGUGGAGAUUAAGAGACUUAUUUUCACAAGACACGUGGGAUGCAGCCAGGUCACAAACCUUCAUCGUCUGAUAUCUUUCAGCACUUGCUUCUAUAAGGUUUGCCAAGUUUCUAAAAGCUGGAAUACUGCCAAAUGAAGUGUAAGUCUCUAAGCAUCAAAAUUCAGGUUUGCCUUGCAACUUUGUCUUGCAGGAUGAGUCCAUAUUACAAAUGUAAGUCAUUAUUUCACUUCACUGCAAUGACCCCUGACUUGCGGACUUCAGGAAAUCCACUGGCUACAUUCUGUAGGUAGCAGGAGAGGUGAUUAGAGGAUUCGCUUCAGAAUGGAGAUUUAGUUUAACCAGACAGCUCUGCAAAAACUUAAAUAUCAUUAACGAGGUUAAUGCCGAAAAUAUUUUACCUGAAUUCCGUAUCUCUAGGUUCUAUACUUAAAUAUGUUAUAAUUAGUAGAUAGGUUCAUUAAAUUCCAAAUCACUUUAUAUCUUUCAUCCUUGUAUUUUCUUUAAUUGCUCAUUUUCCUGCAUGAAGACUAAAAGUCAAUCCUUGAAUAGUAAGAAUUUACCGGUUUGUCUGCUAACAGUUUGAAUAAAACUGUCCCAAAGAGAUUUUGUUAUGACUAAAUGAAUCCGUUUCUAGAAUAUUCUUUUUUGUUGUUGUUUUUGGAGACAGAGAUUUGCUCUUAUUACCCAGGCUGG